GAACGCACCUUGCGCUCCUUGGUAUUCCGAGGAGCAUGCCUGUUUGAGUGUCAUUAAUAUAUAUAUCAAACUUCUCUUGUUGAGUGGUUUGGAUGUGGGGGUUUGCUGGCCUUGUAAAGGGUUCAGCUCCCCUGAAAUGCAUUAGCAGAACAACCCUGUUCAUUGGUGUGAUAACUAUCUACGCUAUUGAAUGUAAGGGGCAGUUCAGCUUUCUAACAGUCCUCGGACAAUUCAUCAUUAAUGUGACCUCAAAUCAGGUAGGACUACCCGCUGAACUUA
RNAcentral lists this unclassified non-coding RNA (279 nucleotides) under Cortinarius uraceisporus. RNAcentral describes it as "sequence contains 5.8S rRNA gene". The stretch from base 1 to 53 matches the Rfam family "5.8S ribosomal RNA", at positions 102 to 154 of the family's 154-position model. Lineage: Eukaryota; Fungi; Basidiomycota; Agaricomycetes; Agaricales; Cortinariaceae. The record is from RNAcentral.